Molecule: ribosomal RNA, 492 nt
Filed under: uncultured bacterium
Lineage: Bacteria
Description: partial 16S ribosomal RNA
Rfam family: Bacterial small subunit ribosomal RNA
Source: RNAcentral
AGUGAACGCUGGCGGUGGGCCUAACACAUGCAAGUCGAACGGCAGCACAGUAAGAUCUUGCUCUUACGGGUAGCGAGUGGCGGACGGGUGAGGAAUACAUCGGAAUCUACUUUUUCUUGGGGGAUAACGUAGGGAAACUUGCGCUAAUACCUCAUAUGACCUACGGGUGAAAGCAGUGGAUCUUCGGACCUUUCGCGAUUGAAUGAGCCGAUGUCGGAUUAGCUAGUUGGCGGGGUAAAGGCCCACCAAGGCAACGAUCCGUAGCUGGUCUGAGAGGAUGAUCAGCCACACUGGAACUGAGACACGGUCCAGACUCCUACGGGAGGCAGCAGUGGGGAAUAUUGGACAAUGGGCGAAAGCCUGAUCCAGCAACGCCGCGUGGGUGAAGAAGGCCUUCGGGUUGUAAAGCCCUGUUGUUGGGGAAGAACAGCAGCAGGAUAAUACACCGACGUUCUGACGGUACCCAAAGAGUAAGCACCGGCUAACUUCGUG